CGGGGGGGGGGCAAGCGUUGUUCGGAAUUACUGGGCGUAAAGGGCGUGUAGGCGGUCCCGCAAGUCUUUCGUGAAAUCCCACAGCUCAACUGUGGAACUGCGAGGGAAACUGCAGGACUUGAGUCCGGGAGAGGAGAGUGGAAUUCCCAGUGUAGCGGUGAAAUGCGUAGAUAUUGGGAGGAACACCGGUGGCGAAGGCGGCUCUCUGGACCGGUACUGACGCUGAGGCGCGAAAGCUAGGGGAGCAAACGGGAUUAGAUACCCCGGUAGUCCUAGCCUUAAACGAUGAGCACUUGGUGUGGCGGGUAUCGACCCCUGCCGUGCCGAAGCUAACGCAUUAAGUGCUCCGCCUGGGGAGUACGGUCGCAAAGGCUGA
Molecule: ribosomal RNA, 376 nt
Filed under: uncultured organism
Description: partial 16S ribosomal RNA
Rfam family: Bacterial small subunit ribosomal RNA
Source: RNAcentral